AGAGUUUGAUCCUGGCUCAGGACGAACGCUGGCGGCGCGCUUAACACAUGCAAGUCGAACGGGUUCGGGGCUUCGGCCCCGGAUCAGUGGCGAACGGGUGCGUAACACGUGAGCAACCUGCCCCUGUAUGGGGGAUAACCCUGGGAAACCGGGGCUAAUACCGCAUGCGCUCUUGGGGUCUCCUGGCCUUUAGAGGAAAGUCCCUGAAAGGGGAUGUGCAGGGAGGGGCUCGCGGUGUAUCAGCUAGUUGGCGGGGUAACGGCCCACCAAGGCAGCGACGCGUAGCCGGUCUGAGAGGACGACCGGCCACAUUGGGACUGAGAUACGGCCCAGACUCCUACGGGAGGCAGCAGUGGGGAAUAUUGGGCAAUGGCGGAAACGCUGACCCAGCCAUGCCGCGUGCAGGAAGAAGGCGCUCAGCGUUGUAAACUGCUUUUGCCGGGGAAGAAAGGCUAGUACGUGUACUAGAAUCGACGGUACCUGGUGAAUAAGCACCGGCUAACUCCGUGCCAGCAGCCGCGGUAAUACGGAGGGUGCAAGCGUUGUCCGGAUUUAUUGGGUUUAAAGGGUGCGUAGGUGGCUUUUUAAGUCCGGGGUGAAAGGCAGUGGCUCAACCACUUGCAGGGCCCUGGAUACUGGAAGGCUCGAGUGCGCGUGAGGCCGGUGGAACGGGUGGUGUAGCGGUGAAAUGCAUAGAUACCAUCCAGAACACCGAUUGCGGAGGCAGCCGGCUAACGCGCAACUGACACUGAGGCACGAAAGCGUGGGGAGCAAACAGGAUUAGAUACCCCCGUAGUCC
This 799-nucleotide ribosomal RNA is filed under the name uncultured Sphingobacteriales bacterium. RNAcentral's name for it is "bacterial SSU rRNA". It matches the Rfam family "Bacterial small subunit ribosomal RNA", at positions 8 to 796 of the family's 1533-position model. Lineage: Bacteria; Pseudomonadati; Bacteroidota; Sphingobacteriia; Sphingobacteriales. The record is from RNAcentral.